Molecule: non-coding RNA, 74 nt
Organism: Podarcis lilfordi (Lilford's wall lizard)
Lineage: Eukaryota; Metazoa; Chordata; Lepidosauria; Squamata; Lacertidae
Source: the annotation of a GenBank genome assembly
ACCUGGAUAGCUCAGUUGGUUAGAGCGUGGUGCUGAUAAUGCCAAGGUUGCAGGUUCAGUCCCUGUUUGGGACA